Non-coding RNA from Pelobates cultripes (western spadefoot toad), 896 nucleotides. The record is from the annotation of a GenBank genome assembly. Lineage: Eukaryota; Metazoa; Chordata; Amphibia; Anura; Pelobatidae.
GUGCAUUAUCGUGCUGCAACAUGAGGUGAUGGAUGUGGAUGAAUGGCACAACAAUGGGCCUUAGGAUCUCAUCACAGUAUCUCUGUGCAUUCAAAAUGCCAUCAAUAAAAUGCACCUGUGUUCGUUGUCCAUAACUUAUUGUAAAGCGCUACUGAAUAAGCUGGUGCUAUAUAAAUAAUAACCAAUAAUAUAAACAUAAGCCUGCCCAUACCAUAACUCCAGCAUGGGCCACUCGAUCCACAAUGUUGACAUCAGCAAACUGCUCACCCACACUACGCCAUACAUGCUGUCUGCCAUCUGCCCUGUACAGUGAAAACCAGAAUUCACCCAUGAAGAGAACACCUCUCCCAAGGUGCCAGAUGCCAUCGAAUGUGAACAUUUGCCUACUAAAUUCGGUUACGACGACAAACUGCAGUCAAGGCGAGACCCCAAUGAGGACGACGAGCAUGCAGAUGAACUUCCCUAAGAUGGUUUCUGAAAGUUUGUGCAGAAAUUCUUUGGUUAUGCAAACCGGUUGUUGCAGCAGCUGUCCGAGUGGCUGGUCUCAUACGAUCUUGGAGGUGAAGAUGCUGGAUGUGGAGGUCUUGGGCUGGUGUGGUUACACGUGGUCUUUGGUUGUGAGGCCGGUUGGAUGUACUGCCAAAUUCUCUGAAACGCCUUUGGAGACAACUUAUGGUAGAGAAAUUAACAUUCAAUUCAUGGGCAACAGCUCUGGGGAAGAUUCCUGCAGUCAGCAUGCCAAUUGCACGCUUCCUCAAAACUUGCGAUAUUUGUGGCAUUGUGCUGUGUGAUAAAACUGCACAUUUUACAGUGGCCUUCCUAAGUCACACCUGUGCAAUAGUCAAGCUGUCUAAUCAGCAUCUUGAUAUGCCACACCCAGGGCCACCAUCAAGGGG